This 3933-nucleotide long non-coding RNA is filed under the name Mus musculus (house mouse). Its description in RNAcentral is "long non-coding RNA chr13:56346235-56350168". Lineage: Eukaryota; Metazoa; Chordata; Mammalia; Rodentia; Muridae. The record is from RNAcentral.
AGUUAGUAGACAGCAAGUCCACGAGGUCACACAAGUUCCCAGGCAGUAACCAGCAUUUACUAAACAACUAUGUGUCCGAUAAUAAUGAUAAUCUCAUUUAAUCACCCUAACCCAUCUGUUUGCUGGUGAGAUUAUUGUCCCAUUUUCCAGAUGUGGAGAUGAAGGUUGAGGGAGCUGGAUAACACAGACAUGGAAGAGACAAUGGAUUAGUAUCUUGUUACUGUGCUCUGCAGGGCCAAGGUGUUCUGACAGGUUUAUGCAGACCAAGAAGAACAAGCAGCAGAUGGGAAAGGAGUCUGUCUCCUCAGCAGGACCAGCCUCUGCACAGGUAUUGUUGUGUGGGAACUUAGCCGGGAGUUCCGAACAAGGAGUCUGAUGUGGGGGACUGGCAUCUGGAAGAGAAGUAGGCGUAAGGUGACAUGAGACAUCCUGGAGUGUCAGAUUCCAGAGCAUGGGACUGUGAGAACUGCGGGGAUCUGGGGCAGCGAUGGCUGUCCUCCCAGAUAUGAUUGCUGGACACAUCUGACUAGCCUUUCUGGUGGCUCUGCCACCUUCUGACCUUUAUUAUGGGGCCAAUGUUUGUUCUAUGUAUCUGUAACUACCGAUAUACCAGAGGCUUAUGCGAGUCAUCUCUGGUCUUUACCACAGUCCUGCAAAACAGCUUCAAAGACCAAAAUUCCAUCGCGCCAGACUUCCUCUUCAAGACUGCUAAGCUAAUGCAUGAUGAAGCCGGGAGCCAGCACCAGGUGUGUGGAUUGCAAAGCCCCGUUCUUCAUGUGAUGUGAAGGGUGUGUCACGGGAGACUGGGCAUGAGAGGAAGGCUGGCUUUCUGUUCAUCUUCCCCUCAGAAGGCCCCUUACUUUGAUGAGAGACAAUAGUGAAAAUAUUGCCCAGCUCUGGUUUACCCUAGCCUGCUAGGAGGCCGUGGGUAUAUGCCUUCUUGACCAUCUCCCAUCUGCCUCUAUUCCAAAGCAGACAAAGGCUCUGCACACACCAGGAAUGAAGAAACCAGCUUUCACCCAGUUAACGGGCAACAGGAGUAUUGAGACAACUCCAAGAGUCCGGACUCACAGACAAUUUCUCUCUGUGCCUUUUGGUUUGUGUUUGGAGUUUACAGAUGUGAAGCCACAGCUGGCUUCCCCGUUUUUCUGAGGGGCCCUGAGAGCCAGUCAACUGAGUUUUCUAUUGUCCUUUUUCACAGGUUUAAUAGCUGUUGGCAACCACGUUGCGUUAUUUUGUUCACAUAAUUAUUCACUGAGCGCGAACAUACCCUGGAGCGCCUCAGCUGUGGCCAUGUUCGCCGGACGCUAGGAAGUGGCUCAAACCUGUGUGUGUAUGUGUGUUUGUGUGUGUGUGUGUGUGUGUGUGUGUGUGUGUGUAUGUGUGUGUGUGUGUGUGUGUGUAAUGAGGAAAAAAAGGGUUGUUUGUUUCCUAAUUAGAAGCAUCAACCAUUGAGAACGAAGACUGACACAUGUUGUCUGUGUGACAUAUGUGAGUUGGAUUCACCCUGCAUUGUCAUGACUGGGGCCCUGACAUUUGCCUGGUCUUCUGUAGUUCUCUCAGCAGAGAAAGAAAAGCAGUCUGGCUUCCCUGGUGGUGGCAGAGACCACAGAGCCACGUGGAGGACCAUGGCUCACCUCCUCUGUGAGCUAGAGUCGUGUCUGUUCCUCCUCAGCUUGUCUGGGCAGCAACAGCCAUGAGUUGUUGAACAUUAAAGAGCAAAGACAUUAGAAAGAGAAGCUGCUAAGCUGCAGCCUGUUCUCUGUCUCCAUGUUGAACAAGGUGGGACGGGGAGGAUGGCUGUGAGAAGGAUGGCUCCUUUCCUUUCAGAACGCAGAAGGGGCAGUCUAGAAGCUCAGGCCAGGAGAGGCCAAGGGGAAGCUGAGGGAUUUGUCCGGAUGGGUGCGACCAGGCCGCUCAUGGUGGCACCCACCUCCACGUGUGGGAACGUGGUGUUGGGGGUUUGCUUCUUGAUAGAAACAAACUUACGAGUAGAGGGAGGAGAGAAUCUUGUCUUGGUACACCUCUGAGGAUGACAUUCUAGGCCUUUGAGGUAAGAAUAGGAAGGGCUUUAAUUCCCCACUACAGGCUACAUGGAAGGGUGGUGGCUGUGUUCUCCACGGAGGAAGUGUCCAGUCAGGCUUGUGUUUCAGGGACUCCGGACAAGUUAACUGGAUCUCCACUCAGCCUAGGAGAUGCCCUGUACACCAGGGUGUCUGGGCAGCUCCCUGGUUGUGACUUUUGACCGGAUAUCUGCUGCCAGCCAGGACUCUAGGUGUCUGUGGUAGUGGUGGUCUUCGUCUCCUUGGCUGUAAAAUGAAGCUUCUAACUGCAGUCCCCAUCCUGUUUGGAAGGUGGUUACUUUAUAUGCUGGGAGCAGUCAGGCUUUAGCAACAGCUCUGCCAUCUACCCAUGUGUGGAUAAAGAAACGUGGUAGAUACACAGCGAGAAACCGAUUAACUGCAGCACAGGGGACCUCCGGACAUGAUGCUAAGUGAACUAAGCCAGGCACAGGAGGACAUAUUCCACACCACCUCAUUUCUGGGUUGGGGAUGGGAGGGCUGGGAAAUGUUGGUGAAAGGGUGUAAAGCUUCAGUUUCACAUAGUGAAUAAGCUCUGGAAAUACACAUAUAUAUGCAAUACAUGCAUAUACAUAUAUAUAUAUACACAUGCACACAAUGUGUAUACAUAUGAAAAUAAAUACAUGUGUGCUAUACAUAUAUACAAAUGUACAUAACACAAACACACAAUAUAUGUACAUAUGCACACACAUAUAACAUGUAAUAUUACACACAUACACUUACAUACACAUCUAACACACACACACACCAUAUGCCUACAUUUCAUACACAUACACUCAUAGGCAUCCACUUAUACAGCACCUUGUAAACACACACAAACACACACACAUGGUAACUAUGAGGUAAUGAAUUGAUUUGGUGUUAUCAUCAUUUCAUAUUCUCUGUGAACAAUAUCACUUUGGGCAUCUUAAAUACAAUUUUUAUUUGUCAGCGAUGCUUCACAAAACUCUGGAAAUAAGCAACUUUGGAAAGAGUUUUUUACAACUUAAAGAGACUAAGGAAGUCAGGCAUGGGGCCAGCAAAAUGGCUCAGUGGGUUCAAGUGCUGAGACAAGCUGUCUCUCAUCCUAGGAUUCCACAGUAGGAGAGAACUGGUCCCCAAAAGUUGCCCUCUGACCUCUGCGCACUUCUGUGGGUCCCGAGUCCCCACACUCACAUGCACAGGUGGCAUAGGCCUGUCAUCUCAGUGCUUGGAAGAGGGAGGCUGGAGGACUGGGGAUAAGGGCCAAUGUAGAAGAAAGAGUACAAGCUAUAAAGGAUUUACUAAAAGAUUUGCUUAAGAGACGUUAAAUCACAAAUGCAGAAUUUAACUAAGGGAGUGCUGGCUCCAAAUACCCAAAGAUAAGUAGUGUGUUAGCCAGCCUGUUAGAGAUAAGCAAAAUUUACAUUGCUAGGCUGCGAAUUUUUAUUCAUCAGGACCGACUAGCCAUUAGGCUCAUCUCCCAAAAAACAUGCCUCGCUGGCCAGCUCAAGAGCCCAGUGCGGGGUCACAGCUACCCUUAAAGAUCUGGGUUUCUUGGUUCAGCCCCUGCAUUUUUAUCAGGAAAAGCAUAAUCCUGCCAGGUGGGCAAGAUGAACCUGGGUAAAAACUAUUCAAAAAGACUAACACUGGUGUACCUAAAAUAAUCCUGGCACUAUCUUUGCUGUGUAAAUCUUCCGUCUGCCCAAGUGGCCAGACUUGGAGUCUCCUGACUGUGUUUAAAUUAUUGGAAGUGUAACCUGGGGCCAGGACAUGAAAGGACUUAGGUAUGCAUGUUAGGAAAAUCUAUUCAUGGUUGCUUUUUCCUUGGGCAUUAGCUGCUACCAGCCAUGCACUUUUAUUCUCUUACCAAUAAAAAAUCUUUUCCUUUAUU